ACUGUAGCGUAAUGGUUAGCUUUCACGCCUAUCAUUCGUAGGACCCAGGUUCAAUCCCCGGCGUCGGUA
RNAcentral lists this transfer RNA (69 nucleotides) under Perkinsus olseni. RNAcentral's name for it is "tRNA-Asp". The record is from RNAcentral. Lineage: Eukaryota; Perkinsozoa; Perkinsida; Perkinsidae.